GCCAAGGAGAUAAAAAUAUAAAAGAAAAGGUCCCAGCUCUUACGGAGACCAGGAGACAGUGGAGAAUCUGAAGUGGAAAAAUAAAAUAAUAACCUGAGUUCCACAACAAUACAAUAACAGCAAAGCAAGCUUUUUCAGAAACCUGCACAGGACAAGUUGCCAGAUCUCUCCUCACUUCUGCUCACUUCAUCAAGCCCCAUUCCACAAGGUGACCAGUGUUGGCUUUAGCUUUGGAUGGCUCCUUUUGGCUCACUGCUUGAUUCAAGCAUCAUCCCAGAUCUCUGCAUAGCUGUAUCUUCCUAUCCCUCAAGUUGAAGCAUUAUCGAAAGGUUUUGGUUGGUUAUUUGUAAUUGCUGGGUGGAAUUCCAAGGUUCCUCUCACCUCCUGCCCAGCCCACAUCCUCCCUAACCCCCACCACCCCAGUAGAUGGGAAAAAGAAGGUGUGAGGCUCCCUGGGAGCUUGGCUAUUGUUUGAGGGAACUGGAAGCCACCGUGCUCAGAGUGUCCAUCCUCCCUCCUCCCAGCACAUGCUGCUUCCUGUCAAUCAUCCUGGAACACCGAGUGCUGGGCCAGACAAUUUUGUCCACAGGAUGUUUGUUUGAAGGCGCUGCCUUGCCAAGUCUCAAAGCUCAAGACUUCCGCUGACAAUCCAAACACCAAAAUGAGAAAAGGGGAAAAACCUCUGGGCAGUUCUUUUAAUCCCUAAUAAGGCCUAUUUAUAUUCAAAAAUAGCAACAGGUUAUCUGAACUUGCAGAGGCUGAAGAGGCUAGGAAGCUUGAUCUUUAAAAUCCUGAGCUCCAGGGAAGUUGAAAUACAG
Molecule: long non-coding RNA, 818 nt
Filed under: Homo sapiens (human)
Lineage: Eukaryota; Metazoa; Chordata; Mammalia; Primates; Hominidae
Description: HSALNT0146858
Source: RNAcentral